CAAUAUAUUUUCCCAAUACAAAACAAUUUUGUUUAAAUGAAAAACAAAAUAUAAAGAUAUAAUAAUCAAUUACACGUGUUCAGGUUAAGACCAGGCCCCUAUUUUUGCAUUGCACUUGACCAUUACGUUGAGCUUCUUGACAUUGCGCCUGAUUGACAUGCAUAUCCAUAUUGGAUGGCACAAGUUGCAUUAUGCUUUGCUAAUUGACUAGCAUAUCCAUAUUGUUGAGAUUGGCUUGACCAUUGUGAUGGACUUUUUUCAUACAUGCUAAAGUCAUAGGUUGCAGCAGGGUGGCCCUCUUGGCUCUCUAAGGUUGCUGGUGAGGCCAUCAAUGGAUUGACCCCUCGGAGGGCCGACACUUUUGAGCAGAUUGAUAAGAUCGGGCAAGGUACAUACAACAAUGUUUACAAAGCUAGGGAUACUUUAACUGGGAAAAUUGUUGCUCUAAGGAAGGUCCGUUUUGAAAAUUUAGAGCCUGAGAGUGUCAAGUUCAUGGCCAGAGAGAUUUUGAUUCUCCAGCGUUUGGAUCAUCCCAAUGUCAUCAAACUGGAAGGCUUAGUGACUUCUAGAAUGUCAUGCAGUUUAUAUCUUGUGUUUGAAUACAUGGUGCAUGAUUUGGCUGGCCUUGCCACAAAUCC
Long non-coding RNA from Glycine soja, 638 nucleotides. RefSeq lists it as uncharacterized. The transcript has 2 exons. The record is from RefSeq and is a predicted model, not a curated record. NCBI's taxonomy places the organism in Eukaryota, Viridiplantae, Streptophyta, Magnoliopsida, Fabales, Fabaceae.